CCCUUAGAUGUUCUGGGCCGCACGCGCGCUACACUGACGAAUGCAACGAGCUUAUAACCUUGGCCGAAAGGUCUGGGUAAUCUCCAAAUUUCGUCGUGAUGGGGAUGGAUUAUUGCAAUUAUUAAUCUUCAACGAGGAAUGCCUAGUAAGCGCAAGUCAUCAGCUUGCGUUGAUUACGUCCCUGCCCUUUGUACACACCGCCCGUCGCUCCUACCGAUUUCGAGUGGUCCGGUGAACCUUCUGGACCGCGAGAGUCUCGUGCUCUUGUGGAAAGUUAAGUAAACCUUAUCACUUAGAGGAAGGAGAAGUCGUAACA
RNAcentral lists this ribosomal RNA (316 nucleotides) under uncultured eukaryote. RNAcentral describes it as "partial 18S ribosomal RNA". It matches the Rfam family "Eukaryotic small subunit ribosomal RNA", at positions 1470 to 1796 of the family's 1831-position model. The record is from RNAcentral.